UACGAAGGGGGCUAGCGUUGCUCGGAAUUACUGGGCGUAAAGGGCGCGUAGGCGGCACUGUUAGUCAGGCGUGAAAGUCCUGGGCUCAACCUGGGAACUGCGCUUGAUACGGCAGAGCUAGAGGAUGGAAGAGGGUCGCGGAAUUCCCAGUGUAGAGGUGAAAUUCGUAGAUAUUGGGAAGAACACCGGUGGCGAAGGCGGCGACCUGGUCCAUUACUGACGCUGAGGCGCGAAAGCUAGGGUAGCAAACGGG
RNAcentral lists this ribosomal RNA (253 nucleotides) under uncultured bacterium. Its description in RNAcentral is "partial 16S ribosomal RNA". It matches the Rfam family "Bacterial small subunit ribosomal RNA", at positions 524 to 776 of the family's 1533-position model. The record is from RNAcentral.